UACGAGUGGUGCGAGCGUUAUUCGGAAUUAUUGGGCGUAAAGGGCGCGUAGGUGGCGUACUAAGUCAAUUGUUAAAUUCUCCGGCCCAACCGGAGGUCAGCAAUAGAUACUGAUAUGCUAGAGGGUGAGAGAGAGAAGUGGAAUUCUCGGAGUAGCGGUAAAAUGCGUAGAUAUCGAGAGGAACACCAAUGGCGAAGGCAGCUUCUUGGCUCAUCCCUGACACUGAGGCGCGAAAGCGUGGGGAGCAAACAGG
RNAcentral lists this ribosomal RNA (253 nucleotides) under uncultured bacterium. RNAcentral's name for it is "partial 16S ribosomal RNA". It matches the Rfam family "Bacterial small subunit ribosomal RNA", at positions 524 to 776 of the family's 1533-position model. The record is from RNAcentral.